CAGUCGCCGCGGGAAAACCAGCAGCCCAAGUGGUGGUCGCGUUUAUUGGGCCUAAAGCGCUCGUAGCCUGGCCGGUAAGUUCCCCGUGAAAUCGGGUCGCCCAACGAUUCGGCUCGCGGGGAAUACUGUCGGUCUUGGGGCCGGGAGACGCCGAGGGUACUCCGGGGGUAGCGGUGAAAUGCUGUAAUCCUCAGGGGACUACCAGUGGCGAAGGCGCUCGGCGAUAACGGGCCUGACGGUGAGGGGCGAAAGCUGGGGGCGCGAACGGGAUUAGAGACCACUGUAGUCCCUGUCUCUUAUA
RNAcentral lists this ribosomal RNA (301 nucleotides) under uncultured bacterium. RNAcentral describes it as "partial 16S ribosomal RNA". It matches the Rfam family "Archaeal small subunit ribosomal RNA", at positions 459 to 759 of the family's 1478-position model. The record is from RNAcentral.